Non-coding RNA from Camellia sinensis, 6374 nucleotides. The record is from RefSeq and is a predicted model, not a curated record. NCBI's taxonomy places the organism in Eukaryota, Viridiplantae, Streptophyta, Magnoliopsida, Ericales, Theaceae.
UGUUUUCAGUUACUGUAUCAUUUUCCAUUAUGUUUCAUCGCAUAGCAAAGGUCUUUGCCAUGGCCACACACUCGUACCUCCUUGUGCAGCAUUGUUGAACAUCCAAAAUCCAACACCAUACCCAUCUCAUUCUCAACUCCAAUGCCACUUCGCAAACCCCAUCUUUUCCUCAAAUCAUUUUCCACAUCAACACCACAAUCAACUUCUCUCAAUUGGAGAACUCAACUAAAACAAUCCCAACUCAUCUCCCAAAUCUCCUCCACCCUCUUGCAGAGACGCAAUUGGGCUCCACUCCUCAGCACCCUCAACCUCUCCUCCUCAAUCCUCACUCCACCUCUCUUCCUCCAUAUCCUCCACAGAACCCAAUCCAACCCACAACUCUCUCUCACCUUCUUCAAUUGGGCAAGAACAAACCUAGGGUUUAAACCAGAUCUCAAAACCCUAAGCAAGCUGAACCAGAUCCUAAUCUGUUCCAGCCUCGCUUUGCAGUCAAAACCCAUCUUGGAUUCGUUGAUUCAGACCUACCCACCAACCCAAAUCGUUGAUUCAGCGAUUCAUGCGUGUAGAGGUACGGAUUCUCAGUCCCCUGUAUUGGGUUCUGUUCUUGAAUGCUAUUGUAAUAAGGGUUUUUUCUUGCAAGCUUUGGAGGUUUAUAGGAAGAGCGUUGGUUAUGGAUAUGUUGUCUCAAUUCAUAGCUGUAAUGUGUUGUUUGAUGCUUUGCAAUUGAAGAAUGAGAUUAGAUUGGCAUGGUGUUUUUAUGGUAGUAUGCUCCGUAAUGGGAUUUUACCGGAUAGGUUUACAUGGUCUAUAAUUGCUCAUAUUCUAUGUAAAGAUGGGAAAUUUGAGAGAAUUGUUAGGGUUUUAGACAUGGGUAUGAAUAAUUCUGUGAUAUAUAAUCUGACUAUUGAUUGUUACAGUAAAAUAGGAAACUUUAGAGCUGCUUUUGAUCUCUUAAAUGAGAUGUGCAAUAGAAAACUUGAUUCCGGUUUUGGUACUUAUAGCUCAAUUCUUGACGGGGCUUGUAAAUAUGGGGAUAAUAAAGCGAUUGAAAUGGCAAUGGAUUCUAUGAUGGAGAAGGGGUUGCUUCCAAAGCUUCCAUUAUCGGAUUGUGAUUUGAUCAUUCAAAAGCUUUCUGAAUUGGGAAGGACAUAUGCGAUGGAUAUGUUUUUCAAGAGAGCUUGUGAUGGGAUGAUUGAAUUACAGCGUACUUCUUAUGGAUGCAUGCUAAGGGCAUUUUCUAAGGAAGGAAGAGUGAAGGAAGCAAUUGGGAUAUACCGUGAAAUGUUAGAAAGGGAUAUCAAAGCAAAUAGCAGUUGUUAUAAUGCAUUUGUAAAUGUUCUUUGCAAGGAAGAACCGUCAGAGGAAAUUAAUGGAUUGUUAAAAGAUAUAAUUGGGAGAGGAUUUAGUCCUUGUGCAUUAGAAUUGUCUAUUUUUAUAACUUCUCAAUGUGCUAAACGUAGAUGGAGAGAAGCGGAGCAGCUUUUGAAUGCAAUUUUAGAGAAAGGGUUACUUCCGGAUUCUUCAUGCUGCUGCUCAUUGGUGAAACAUUACUGCGCUAGUAGACGGAUUGAUUCAGCUAUUGCAUUGCAUAAUAAGAUGGAGAAACUAAAUGGUAUUUUGGAUGUAACAACAUAUAAUGUACUUCUCAAUGGGCUGUUGAAAGAAAGGAGGGUUGAAGAAGCAGUUAAGGUAUUUGAUUACAUGAGAACUCGAAAAUUGCUGAGCGGUGAUAGUUUUUCAAUUAUGAUCAGUGUGCUUUGCCAGGAAAAGGAAUUGAGGAAAGCCAUGAAAAUGCAUGAUGAAAUGUUGAAAAUGGGGCUUAAACCUGAUGAAAAAACAUAUAAACGAUUGAUUUCUGGUUUUAAGUGAUUUGUUGUCAUACAUUUCUGGCAUGUUGUGACAUGUUGCUCAUGUACACACUGAAUAGCCUAUCUUAAAGUGGGAGAUGGGAAAUGGCAUAUCGGAUUGUGAUUUGGUCAUUCAAAAAAUGAUUUUGCUUCCUACUACUCUCAAACCCGAAGAUGAAAGGUUGUUUUCUAGUAGUGUUUUUAUUAUGGUAGUUAGAGAUGAUGGUGAUGGUGAUGGUGAUGGUGAUGGUGAUGUUAGUGGUAGUGGUGGCAUUGUGUUGAAGAUAUUGCUUCACACAAUUAUACAGAUACAAAUGGGAGUCACUGGUGUCCAAGAGAAAAUACAAAAACUCAUGGAUUGAAAUUGCUUUAUGAUUGUGAUCUGUUUGAUGGUUUUCAGUAGUGUACUUUUGUGGAGUUCCGACUGGAUUGCAUUCUCUAUUGGGAGUGUAUGAUAACUCUGCUACUUAUGCAUUCUCCCCAUCGAAUUAUGUACAACUCUCCUUACUUCUCUGUUUUUGGUUCUGAAUCCAUGAGGCAAAAUUGGCUUCGCAUCAUUCCAUCUUUAGCUUCCAAUUCAAUCACCAGUUCUGCCCAGCGCAACCUUUGCACUCGCCAAUUGCCGGCAGACGUUCAAUCCAUUCACACUCUACCAGAAGAACUAAAUGGAACUGUGAACUCCAUCUGUGAUUCAUUGCGGAAAGGCCUUAAUUGGGACGCACUUAGUAGAAGGUAUAGUUCUGUUGAGUUAAGCAAUUCAAUGGUUGAAAAAGUACUACUACAACUGAAGGAACCAAUUGAUGCAAAGUGUACCUUGGGUUUCUUCCACUGGUCAGCUCAGCAAAAGCAUUUUAAACAUGAGACUUCCAGUUACUGUAUUGUAAUUCACAUAUUAGUCCGAGCAAAACUCAUUAGGGAUGCUCGAACUUUGCUCGAAUCAGUUAUGAAGAAAAGCAUUUCUUGCAAUUCUUCGCGAUUCUCAGUUGUUGAUUCUCUUCUUAAUAGUUACAAAAGUUGUAAUUCUAUUCCAUUGGUGUUUGAUCUGUUGGUUCAAACUUAUGCCAAGCUGAGGAUGAUAGACACUGGCUUCGAUGUUUGUCAAUACUUGAAUGAACAUGGGUUCACUUUAAGUGUCAUUAGUUACAACACACUGAUCAAUGUAGUUCAAAAAUCUAAUCAGACAAGUAUGGUUUGGAAAAUCUAUGAGCAUAUGAUCCAAAAAAGAACAUCCCCAAAUAGUGUAACAGUCAGAAUAAUGAUCAGUGCAUUGUGCAAGGAAGGUAAGUUGCAAGAAACUAUUGACAUGUUGGAUAGAAUUCAUGGGAAGAGUUGCUCUCCUACAGUGAUUGUUAACACUAGUUUGGUCUUUAGGAUCUUGGACGAGAGACGAGUUGAUGAAGGAAUGGUAUUGUUGAAGAGGAUGCUGCAAAAAAACAUGAUUCUUGAUACUGUUUCUUAUUCUAUGAUUGUAUAUGCUAGGGUUAAGCUUGGGAGUUUAGAUUCUGCAUGGGAUGUUUAUGAGGAAAUGCUCAAAAGAGGUUUUCAUGCAAAUCCUUUUGUAUACACUUCAUUUAUAAAGGCAUAUUGUAUGGAGGGAAGGAUUGAUGGUGCGAUUUGCUUGAUGCAGGACAUGAAAAAUUUGGGUUUGAAGCCAUUCAGCGAGACUUUUGAUCAUCUCAUCAUGGGUUGCUCACAUGUGGGAAGAUUAGAAGAAAGUGUAAACUUCUGUGAGAAAACAAUGGAGAUGAAUUUUGUUCCUAGUUGUUUGGCUUUCAACGAAAUGGUUGGAAAGCUCUGUCAAACCAGGGGCACCAGGCAGGCUAAUGAGAUGUUAACUAAUCUGUUAGAUAAAGGGUUUGAACCUGACCAGGUUACAUAUUCUCGGCUUAUUGCUGGCUAUGCCAAAGAAGGAAACAUUCAGGAAGUUCUCAAGCUAUACUAUGAAAUGGAAUAUAGAUCACUCUCUCCUGGUUCACUGGUUUUUGCAUCUUUGAUUAGUUGCCUUUGCCAAUGUGGAAAAUUUGAGGAGGCAGAAAAAUAUCUUAAGGUUAUGAAGGAUCGAUCGAUACCACCAUCUGCAUAUAUUUUUGGGACACUAAUUGCCAGCCACUAUAUGAAGGGCAACAAGUCAAGAGCUCGUCAAUUUUAUAGGGAAAUGGUUGGAGAAGGAUUGGAACAUAGUGACUCAUGUUGUUGUGUUGGUGCAGAGGAACUUCAGAGCUAGCCCUUCUUGUGGAGGCAUAUUCUAUGAAUUGUCUAGGGUUGACUAGAAAUCCAUGUUGGUGAGAACUAUCUGAAUUAUAUUGUUGCACUUCUUUUGGUUGUGGCGUUGGUGCAUGGUGUUGUGGCUAGUUGCCUUGACAAUGAACCUCAAUUGGGGCGAGUACCUUGCUUGUGGCGAGCUUGGUGCAUGGAAGCAACCGUUGACGUAAAUGGAGUAUGGAGACCUUUGGUUAGCAUUCGGAAUGUGAGGCCUCUAUUUGUGCGGAUUGCUCUUGCUGACAAUUUCGUGGGCUUGCUAAAAGACUAAAUUGGUGCAAUUUAUAAUGCUCAGAUGGUCAAAAAAUUAGUCACCAAAGUUGCUUCUCCUCCGUCAUCGCAGUCACCUGCUUCGCUUCUUCGACCAAGCAUCAACGGCACUUCGAGAAGUCGAACGGCCUCCAUUGUUACCACCACCAUCACCAUUUUUCUGCUAUUACCAGUUCGCCUAUCUUCAAACAGCCCUGAGAUCAGAACUACUCUAUAUAUGCUGUAUGAGUGGAGAACAAUCUGCUUUUGACUUGACAGUAGCACUUUGUCUUCCGACAAUGAGUGAGGCUUUGGCCAUGAACAAGUUGGUUGCAGGGUUCACCAAGGAUGUUGAAGAGUUUGCUUACCAUUAUGCCAUGGAAGGAAAACUCAUUGAGUUGGCUGUCUUGCUGAUUGUGGCUCGAGAAAAGGUUUUUGGUUCCCAUCACAUUCCAUGGAAAAGAUGGUGCUGGUUUAAAUGGAAGUAUGACAAUUCAUGAAUGUCUUAGAAAUCAAUGUGUGUCUCUAAUUAACGAGGAGAUCAACCUUAUGGAUCAAGUUGAACAUGAGAAAUUAACUCGAAUUCACAACAAGAAGACAAUUAUGAAGUUGGCUAUGGUAUUGCUAGAAGUUUUUGAGAGGGCUGGUAGUAGUAUUGAGGAAUAUCAUCAGCUACAACUACAGCAACCUGAUAUGGAUAUCUCAGCUUCCUCAUGUGGAUAUAAGCUGAUGUUUGUAAGUUGUGAAUGUAACAAAAUUGUAUUCACAUGUGCAGUAACGCAUAUCAGCACAUUGUUACGUAAGGCAAUCAUUUGGUGCUCCUUAGAGGUGCAGAGAGAACAUGUGGGGAAAGAUGUUGCUCUGAGGCUUGUGGAAGCAGACUUUAACUUGGAGGCUGGAGACUUUGAUUUUAGCACUGGAGACUGGUUUGAGAACCUAAUAUUUAACGUUUGAAUGUCUUUUCUGGAUUGUGUUUGUUUUUUUAUGCACAUUUGUUGAUCAUCCUUUGUGGUUCAGUAUAACUACACUAUUAUGUCAUUGAAUGGCUAAUUGACACUUGGGAGUACCUUUCUUUCUUGACAGGAUCGUUUCCUACAAUUCUGCAAUGACCUCUACCAAGUACAUAGAUAUACUCGAUUAGGUAAUUUAUUGAGUUCUAAUUGAAAUAAUCUAACUUCUGCUUCAUAAGUAAUAAUGAAGAAAUACAAAUGGUAUGCGAGUUUCUUAUAUGUUUUCUUACAAAAGACAAGUCGUCUCAAUUGUGGAGCCCUCACUUGCCCAUGCAGCAGCAAACAAAUGCGUUUUUUCCCCCAAGGGUUAGAAAAUGAUAUUUGUUUUGUUUUUUGCAAUUAUUUUUGUUGGUUCAAGUAUUGCUAGGAGUCUUGUUUCUUGGAUGCUUUGUGCUAUAACGAACAGCAUCACUAAUAUAAUUUUACUCCUUUUGAACUUAUUGCCUGCAUUAGCGGGGGAAUUCCAAGGUACCAUUGCCCCAAUUUUUUUUGGGUACACGACUCAUCCUUUUAUUGAUGGAGCUGUGAAUUUGUUUGAGCUUCAAGUUUGUUUCCAACAAAUUAAUGCCAACUUGGAACUACUUUUGGGAUUAUGCAUCAUUUGGUGGUUUUAAUGAUUAAUUGGAGAUGCUAUCUCCAAUUAGUGUUUUCCUCCUAUUCUAGAUCAUUUAUCAGGAGUUUGAGGAGUUGGAACUAUCAAAUAAUUUGGUUGUGUUGACUUUUUACUAUACUGUUGUUGGGCAGAUUUGGUUAGAUUUGGCAAUCAAUGAAAUCAAUUUUAAAUGAUGCAGGUGCUUGGAGGACUUACAAAUCCGUUGAAUCCGGAAGACUACCUGCUCAAAUGAGAAGGCUUUUGGAACUAUCUGUACUUUAAUCUGGAAGAUUACCUGCUCAAAUGGGAAGGCUUAUGCAUGUAUGCUUGUCUGUGCGUGUACAUGUGUGUUUACUUUUUGAUGGAUCUUGAUGGAUUGAUGACGUUAUAACAAUGCAAUUUUUUUUUCCUUUCUCU